RNAcentral lists this non-coding RNA (25 nucleotides) under Mus musculus (house mouse). The record is from RNAcentral. Lineage: Eukaryota; Metazoa; Chordata; Mammalia; Rodentia; Muridae.
AUUGUUAAUAACCCCAGGUCGGAGA